GGAGAUGUAGAUAACAAUUAUUAAGAAUCGUGAAUAAAUUGUAAAAUUAUUUUCCUUAUCUAACUCGACUAUGGAAAUUGGUGAUUAGAAAGCCGAAUAUUAAAAAACAAACAAACAUACUUCGCAUGAUGGAUGUGCGUGGGUCACUGUUGUAAGCAAGAAAUUGAAAAGGUACAGUAGAAAUUUAUUGUAUAUCUGUACAUAACGAUUAAACAUUGC
This is a non-coding RNA of Cinara cedri, 219 nucleotides long. NCBI's taxonomy places the organism in Eukaryota, Metazoa, Arthropoda, Insecta, Hemiptera, Aphididae. The record is from the annotation of a GenBank genome assembly.